GAUGAAGAACGCAGUGAAAUGCGAUAAGUAAUGUGAAUUGCAGAAUUCAGUGAAUCAUCGAAUCUUUGAACGCACAUUGCGCCCUCUGGUAUUCCGGGGGGCAUGCCUGUUCGAGCGUCAUUAUAACCACUCAAGCUCUCGCUUGGUAUUGGGGUUCGCGGUUUCGCGGCCCCUAAAAUCAGUGGCGGUGCCUGUCGGCUCUACGCGUAGUAAUACUCCUCGCGAUUGAGUCCGGUAGGUCUACUUGCCAGCAACCCCUAAUUUUUUUUAAGGUUGACCUCGGAUCAGGUAGGGAUACCCGCUGAACUUAAGCAUAUCAAUAAGCGGAGGA
RNAcentral lists this unclassified non-coding RNA (331 nucleotides) under soil metagenome. RNAcentral describes it as "partial contains 5.8S ribosomal RNA, internal transcribed spacer 2, and large subunit ribosomal RNA". The stretch from base 1 to 120 matches the Rfam family "5.8S ribosomal RNA", at positions 35 to 154 of the family's 154-position model. The record is from RNAcentral.